This 431-nucleotide ribosomal RNA is filed under the name uncultured bacterium. Its description in RNAcentral is "bacterial SSU rRNA". It matches the Rfam family "Bacterial small subunit ribosomal RNA", at positions 958 to 1392 of the family's 1533-position model. The record is from RNAcentral.
AACGCGAAGAACCUUACCUACCCUUGACAUGCCAGGAACUCUGCUGAGAGGCGGAGGUGCCCGAAAGGGAGCCUGGACACAGGUGCUGCAUGGCUGUCGUCAGCUCGUGUCGUGAGAUGUCGGGUUAAGUCCCGCAACGAGCGCAACCCUUAUCAUUAGUUGCUACGCAAGGGCACUCUAGUGAGACUGCCGGUGACAAACCGGAGGAAGGUGGGGAUGACGUCAAGUCCUCAUGGCCCUUAUGGGUAGGGCUUCACACGUCAUACAAUGGCGCAUACAGAGGGUCGCCAACCCGCGAGGGGGAGCCAAUCUCAGAAAGUGCGUCGUAGUCCGGAUUGCAGUCUGCAACUCGACUGCAUGAAGUCGGAAUCGCUAGUAAUCGCGGAUCAGCAAUGUCGCGGUGAAUACGUUCCCGGGUCUUGUACACACCG